GAUGAACGCUAGCGGCAGGCUUAACACAUGCAAGUCGAGGGGCAGCGGGGCGGAAGCUUGCUUCCGCCGCCGGCGACCGGCGCACGGGUGAGUAACACGUAUGCAACCUGCCCCCGUCAGGGGGACAACCCGGCGAAAGCCGGGCUAAUCCCCCGUACAUCCCCGGAGGGCAUCCUCCGGGGAGGAAAGGCUUCGGCCGGAGGGGGAUGGGCAUGCGGCGCAUUAGCCAGUUGGCGGGGUAACGGCCCACCAAGGCGACGAUGCGUAGGGGUUCUGAGAGGAAGGUCCCCCACACUGGUACUGAGACACGGACCAGACUCCUACGGGAGGCAGCAGUGAGGAAUAUUGGUCAAUGGUCGGGAGACUGAACCAGCCAAGCCGCGUGAGGGAUGAAGGUGCCAAGCAUUGUAAACCUCUUUUGUCAGGGAACAAAGGCAUCCACGAGUGGGUGUGUGAGUGUACCUGAAGAAAAAGGAUCGGCUAACUCCGUGCCAGCAGCGCGGUAAUACGGAGGAUCCGAGCGUUAUCCGGAUUUAUUGGGUUUAAGGGAGCGUAGAUGGAUGUUUAAGUCAGUUGUGAAAGUUUGCGGCUCAACCGUAAAAUUGCAGUUGAUACUGGAUAUCUUGAGUGCACGUUGAGGCAGGCGGAAUUCGUGGUGUAGCGGUGAAAUGCUUAGAUAUCACGAAGAACUCCGAUUGCGAAGGCAGCUUGCUAAGCUGCAACUGACAUUGAGGCUCGAAAGUGUGGGUAUCAAACAGGAUUAGAUACCCUGGUAGUCCACACGGUAAACGAUGAAUACUCGCUGUUUGCGAUAUACGGCAAGCGGCCAAGCGAAAGCGUUAAGUAUUCCACCUGGGGAGUACGCCGGCAACGGUGAAACUCAAAGGAAUUGACGGGGGCCCGCACAAGCGGAGGAACAUGUGGUUUAAUUCGAUGAUACGCGAGGAACCUUACCCGGGCUUAAAUUGCAGAUGAAUUACGGUGAAAGCCGUAAGCCGCAAGGCAUCUGUGAAGGUGCUGCAUGGUUGUCGUCAGCUCGUGCCGUGAGGUGUCGGCUUAAGUGCCAUAACGAGCGCAACCCUUGUUGUCAGCUACUAACAGGUUCUGCUGAGGACUCUGACAAGACUGCCAUCGUAAGAUGUGAGGAAGGUGGGGAUGACGUCAAAUCAGCAACGGSCCUUACGUCCGGGGCUACACCACGUGUUACAAUGGGGGGUACAGAGGGCCGCUACCACGCGAGUGGAUGCCAAUCCCCAAAACCUCUCUCAGUUCGGACUGGAGUCUGCAACCCGACUCCACGAAGCUGGAUUCGCUAGUAAUCGCGCAUCAGCCACGGCGCGGUGAAUACGUUCCCGGGCCUUGUACACACCGCCCGUCAAGCCAUGGGAGCCGGGGGUACACUGAAGUGCGUAACCGCGAGGAGCGCCCUAGGGUAAAACUGGUGACUGGGGC
This 1452-nucleotide ribosomal RNA is filed under the name uncultured bacterium. Its description in RNAcentral is "16S ribosomal RNA". It matches the Rfam family "Bacterial small subunit ribosomal RNA". The record is from RNAcentral.